This 77-nucleotide transfer RNA is filed under the name Hyphomicrobium sp. Its description in RNAcentral is "tRNA-Arg". It matches the Rfam family "tRNA". From Rfam's summary of the family: Transfer RNA (tRNA) molecules are approximately 80 nucleotides in length. Their secondary structure includes four short double-helical elements and three loops (D, anti-codon, and T loops). RNAcentral also lists the same sequence under 3 other names. Lineage: Bacteria; Pseudomonadati; Pseudomonadota; Alphaproteobacteria; Hyphomicrobiales; Hyphomicrobiaceae. The record is from RNAcentral.
GGCCCCGUAGCUCAGCAGGAUAGAGCAUCAGAUUCCUAAUCUGAGGGUCGCAGGUUCGAAUCCUGCCGGGGUCGCCA